GCACGUAGUUAGCCGGAACUUAUUCCUGGGGUACGUCAUCAUCUUCCCCCAGAAAAGGAUUUUACAACCCGAAGGCCUUCUUCAUCCACGCGGCGUUGCUGAGUCAGGCUUGCGCCCAUUGCUCAAUAUUCCUCA
This 135-nucleotide ribosomal RNA is filed under the name uncultured bacterium. Its description in RNAcentral is "partial 16S ribosomal RNA". The record is from RNAcentral.